AGUGAACGCUGGCGGUAGGCCUAACACAUGCAAGUCGAACGGCAGCACAGUAAGAGCUUGCUCUUACGGGUGGCGAGUGGCGGACGGGUGAGGAAUACAUCGGAAUCUACUAUUUCGUGGGGGAUAACGUAGGGAAACUUACGCUAAUACCGCAUACGACCUACGGGUGAAAGCAGGGGAUCUUCGGACCUUGCGCGAUUGAAUGAGCCGAUGUCGGAUUAGCUAGUUGGCGGGGUAAAGGCCCACCAAGGCGACGAUCCGUAGCUGGUCUGAGAGGAUGAUCAGCCACACUGGAACUGAGACACGGUCCAGACUCCUACGGGAGGCAGCAGUGGGGAAUAUUGGACAAUGGGCGCAAGCCUGAUCCAGCCAUACCGCGUGGGUGAAGAAGGCCUUCGGGUUGUAAAGCCCUUUUGUCGGGAAAGAAAAGCAGCAGGUUAAUACCCCGCUGUUCUGACGGUACCCAAAGAAUAAGCACCGGCUAACUUCGUG
This 492-nucleotide ribosomal RNA is filed under the name uncultured bacterium. Its description in RNAcentral is "partial 16S ribosomal RNA". It matches the Rfam family "Bacterial small subunit ribosomal RNA", at positions 29 to 507 of the family's 1533-position model. The record is from RNAcentral.